RNAcentral lists this ribosomal RNA (253 nucleotides) under uncultured bacterium. RNAcentral describes it as "partial 16S ribosomal RNA". It matches the Rfam family "Bacterial small subunit ribosomal RNA", at positions 524 to 776 of the family's 1533-position model. The record is from RNAcentral.
UACGGAGGAUGCAAGCGUUAUCCGGAAUGAUUGGGCGUAAAGCGUCCGCAGGUGGCAAUGUAAGUCUGCUGUUAAAGAGUCUAGCUCAACUAGAUAAAAGCAGUGGAAACUACAUAGCUAGAGUACGUUCGGGGCAGAGGGAAUUCCUGGUGUAGCGGUGAAAUGCGUAGAGAUCAGGAAGAACACCAGUGGCGAAGGCGCUCUGCUAGGCCGUAACUGACACUGAGGGACGAAAGCUAGGGGAGCAAAUGGG